RNAcentral lists this long non-coding RNA (351 nucleotides) under Marmota monax (woodchuck). Lineage: Eukaryota; Metazoa; Chordata; Mammalia; Rodentia; Sciuridae. The record is from RNAcentral.
AGGGACCAGCACAGCCACCUGGGGAAGGGUGGUUUAUUGAGGAGUGGGCAAGUCUCAGGGAGGUGUGAGGCUCACCCUGUGCUCCGCAGGCCCUGUCCACAGACUCAGUGGAGCGCCUGCCCGUCUACAACAAGUCAGCCUGGCGCCACUACCAGACCAUCCAGGAGGCCGGCGACUGGUGUGUGCCCAGCACAGAGCCCAAGAACACGUCCACCUACCGAGUCAGCUAGGGGCCGCCCUCCCCUGUAGUCGAGAGGACAGACUGCUGCCUUGGGGUCUGGCCACCAAGGCGACCCUCUCCGUCACCCAGGAAAUGGGUGGGGGUGGUUCUCCCUGAUGACCAGUUUCUCU